This 1766-nucleotide unclassified non-coding RNA is filed under the name Nostocaceae cyanobacterium HA7590-KK11. RNAcentral describes it as "bacterial SSU rRNA". The stretch from base 1 to 1164 matches the Rfam family "Bacterial small subunit ribosomal RNA", at positions 356 to 1533 of the family's 1533-position model. Lineage: Bacteria; Bacillati; Cyanobacteriota; Cyanophyceae; Nostocales; Nostocaceae. The record is from RNAcentral.
GGGGAAUUUUCCGCAAUGGGCGAAAGCCUGACGGAGCAAUACCGCGUGAGGGAGGAAGGCUCUUGGGUUGUAAACCUCUUUUCUCAGGGAAGAACACAAUGACGGUACCUGAGGAAUCAGCAUCGGCUAACUCCGUGCCAGCAGCCGCGGUAAUACGGAGGAUGCAAGCGUUAUCCGGAAUGAUUGGGCGUAAAGCGUCCGCAGGUGGCAGUGUAAGUCUGCUGUUAAAGAGUGAGGCUCAACCUCAUAAAAGCAGUGGAAACUACACAGCUAGAGUGCGUUCGGGGCAGAGGGAAUUCCUGGUGUAGCGGUGAAAUGCGUAGAUAUCAGGAAGAACACCGGUGGCGAAAGCGCUCUGCUAGGCCGCAACUGACACUGAGGGACGAAAGCUAGGGGAGCGAAUGGGAUUAGAUACCCCAGUAGUCCUAGCCGUAAACGAUGGAUACUAGGCGUGGCUUGUAUCGACCCGAGCCGUGCCGUAGCUAACGCGUUAAGUAUCCCGCCUGGGGAGUACGCAGGCAACUGUGAAACUCAAAGGAAUUGACGGGGGCCCGCACAAGCGGUGGAGUAUGUGGUUUAAUUCGAUGCAACGCGAAGAACCUUACCAAGACUUGACAUGUCGCGAAUCUUUGGGAAACUAAAGAGUGCCUUCGGGAGCGCGAACACAGGUGGUGCAUGGCUGUCGUCAGCUCGUGUCGUGAGAUGUUGGGUUAAGUCCCGCAACGAGCGCAACCCUCGUUUUUAGUUGCCAGCAUUAAGUUGGGCACUCUAGAGAGACUGCCGGUGACAAACCGGAGGAAGGUGGGGAUGACGUCAAGUCAGCAUGCCCCUUACGUCUUGGGCUACACACGUACUACAAUGCUACGGACAGAGGGCAGCAAGCUAGCAAUAGCAAGCAAAUCCCGUAAACCGUGGCUCAGUUCAGAUCGCAGGCUGCAACUCGCCUGCGUGAAGGAGGAAUCGCUAGUAAUUGCAGGUCAGCAUACUGCAGUGAAUUCGUUCCCGGGCCUUGUACACACCGCCCGUCACACCAUGGAAGCUGGCAACGCCCGAAGUCAUUACUCCAACCUUUCGGGGGGGAGGAUGCCUAAGGCAGUGCUGGUGACUGGGGUGAAGUCGUAACAAGGUAGCCGUACCGGAAGGUGUGGCUGGAUCACCUCCUUUUAGGGAGACCUACCCAACUUUGAUGCUCGAAAGCACACAGCAAAUAGACACAAAGAAGGUCAAACCUAGGUCGGUCGCAGUUAUUUGUGGCGAGCUUUCAAACUAUAUUGGUUCGUUUAUGGGCUAUUAGCUCAGGUGGUUAGAGCGCACCCCUGAUAAGGGUGAGGUCCCUGGUUCGAGUCCAGGAUGGCCCACCUGAAAGUAAUUAGUAAUUGCUAAUUCGUAAUUCGUAAUUAACUACGAAUUAAGAAUUACGAAUUACGAAUUAUUAGGGGGGUUUAGCUCAGUUGGUAGAGCGCCUGCUUUGCAAGCAGGAUGUCAGCGGUUCGAGUCCGCUAACCUCCACCUGUAUGUAAAAAAAUGCGAUUAAAUUCAGCAACGUGACACACAACAGAUGUCAGACUGCUGGAUGAUUAAUCCAGCCAGAACCUUGAAAACUGCAUAGUAACGCGAAGCAGGCAGACACAGACAUUGAAUUGAUGAAUUGUGUUUGCAGUGUUGAACACCAAUAUAUGUCUAAUUACGAAUUACGAAUUACGAAUUACGAAUUAGACAGUGGUCAAGCUAAUAAGGGCUGACGGUGGAUACCUAGGCACACAGAG